Molecule: ribosomal RNA, 342 nt
Filed under: Triticum aestivum (bread wheat)
Lineage: Eukaryota; Viridiplantae; Streptophyta; Magnoliopsida; Poales; Poaceae
Description: partial small subunit ribosomal RNA
Source: RNAcentral
AUGCUAGGAUCGCUCACCUUCUCCUUCCCCGCUGUUGCUUGCCUUCCUCGCCGGCCUCCUCCUUCCCUUUUCGUCCGCAUCCUACACCUCCCCUGCAUCCCCACCCGCACCGCGAAGACGACCUACGUCCGAUCUGGAUCGACGGUGACAUGGAAGAGGACAGGAGUGAGGCGAGCGGAGGAGAAGGCUGGCGGUGGGAUCGACAGCGACAUGAUAGAGGAGAGGAGGAGGCGAGUGGAGAGACGAGGUCGGCCGGCGGCUGCUGGCGAGGAGAGGAUGGUGGGGAUCGAGGGAGGGGUGCGGUGGCUCGUGGGGAUCGAGGGGAAAGAGAAAGAGGGCUAG